This is a long non-coding RNA of Leopardus geoffroyi (Geoffroy's cat), 230 nucleotides long. RefSeq lists it as uncharacterized. The transcript has 3 exons. The record is from RefSeq and is a predicted model, not a curated record. NCBI's taxonomy places the organism in Eukaryota, Metazoa, Chordata, Mammalia, Carnivora, Felidae.
GGAGGGUAUGUGUAUAUACGCACGUGGAGGUCAGGAGCCCUGGGAUAGAUCACUGGGAGGCUUAGCUACAGGGAUGAGAUCUGCACACCCAAAGAGCCUAGCAUAAAUGCACAACAACCAACUGUGAGAAUGAAACAGCCAGCCCCAUGCACCAAAGGAAGGAAGGAGCAGAACAUUUCCUGUCAAUCCAACGACAACAAAAUUGACAAGGUACAAAAGAGAAUCCCAAG